GACGAACGCUGGCGGCGUGCUUAACACAUGCAAGUCGAACGGAAAGGCCCUGCUUUUGUGGGGUGCUCGAGUGGCGAACGGGUGAGUAACACGUGAGUAACCUGCCCUUGACUUUGGAAUAACUUCAGGAAACUGGGGCUAAUACCGGAUAGGAGCUCCUGCUGCAUGGUGGGGGUUGGAAAGUUUCGGCGGUUGGGGAUGGACUCGCGGCUUAUCAGCUUGUUGGUGGGGUAGUGGCUUACCAAGGCUUUGACGGGUAGCCGGCCUGAGAGGGUGACCAGCCACAUUGGGACUGAGAUACGGCCCAGACUCCUACGGGAGGCAGCAGUGGGGAAUAUUGCACAAUGGGCGGAAGCCUGAUGCAGCAACGCCGCGUGCGGGAUGACGGCCUUCGGGUUGUAAACCGCUUUCGCCUGUGACGAAGCGUGAGUGACGGUAAUGGGUAAAGAAGCACCGGCUAACUACGUG
Molecule: ribosomal RNA, 468 nt
Filed under: uncultured bacterium
Lineage: Bacteria
Description: partial 16S ribosomal RNA
Rfam family: Bacterial small subunit ribosomal RNA
Source: RNAcentral